CCUANGGGGGGCUGCAGUGGGGAAUAUUGGACAAUGGGCGCAAGCCUGAUCCAGCAAUACCGCGUGUGUGAAGAAGGCCUGAGGGUUGUAAAGCACUUUCAUUAGGGAGGAAAACCUGUCGGCGAAUACCCGGCAGCUUGACAUUACCUAUACAAGAAGCACCGGCUAACUCCGUGCCAGCAGCCGCGGUAAUACGGAGGGUGCAAGCGUUAUCCGGAUUUAUUGGGCGUAAAGAGCGCGUAGGUGGUUUGUUAAGUUGGAAGUUAAAACUUCAGGCUCAACCUGGACCCGCUUUCAAUACUGGCAAGCUAGAGUUUGGGAUAGGGAAGGGGAACUAACAGAGUAGCGGUGAAAUGCGUAGAUACUGUUAGGAACACCAGUGGCGAAGGCGCCUUCCUGGACCAAAACUGACACUAAGGCGCGAGAGCGUGGGGAGCAAACAGGAUUAGAUACCCCUNUANUC
RNAcentral lists this ribosomal RNA (463 nucleotides) under uncultured bacterium. RNAcentral's name for it is "bacterial SSU rRNA". It matches the Rfam family "Bacterial small subunit ribosomal RNA", at positions 338 to 795 of the family's 1533-position model. The record is from RNAcentral.